CCCAUAUUUAUUUUACAUAACAUAUUUACAUGAUAUGCAUCACUUUGAGACAAUUGUCUCAUUCAAAAGCUUUAGCUUUCAGCGAACCAGUUGCUUCACUCUGCAGGCUAAAAAGCAGGUACAUAUAAUUUUCUUUUUCAUGUUUACCUGCUGCUUCUUUGUUAUGCUUUCCACACCUACUCCAGGCGAUACACUGAUCUAAACAAUCAGUGUCCUAUCC
Non-coding RNA from Pelobates cultripes (western spadefoot toad), 220 nucleotides. The record is from the annotation of a GenBank genome assembly. NCBI's taxonomy places the organism in Eukaryota, Metazoa, Chordata, Amphibia, Anura, Pelobatidae.